Molecule: ribosomal RNA, 460 nt
Filed under: uncultured bacterium
Lineage: Bacteria
Description: partial 16S ribosomal RNA
Rfam family: Bacterial small subunit ribosomal RNA
Source: RNAcentral
CCUACGGGUGACAGCAGUGAGGAAUAUUGGUCAAUGGACGAGAGUCUGAACCAGCAAAGUAGCGUGAAGGAUGACUGCCCUAUGGGUGGAAAACUUCUUUUAUAGGGGAAUAAAACAGGGUAUGCAUACCCUCUUGUAUGUACCAUAUGAAUAAGGAUCGGCUAACUCCGUGCAAGCAGCCGCGGUAAUACGGAGGGUCCGAGCGUUAUACGGAUUUAUUGGGUUUAAAGGGAGCGUAGGGGGAUUGUUAAGUCAGUUGUGAAAGUUUGCGGCUCAACCAUAAAAUUGCAGUUGAAACUGUCAGUCUUGAGUACAGUAGAGGUGGGCGGAAUUCGUGGUGUAGCGGUGACAUGCUUAGAUAUCACGAAGAACUCCGAUUGCGAAGGCAGCUCACUGGACUGCAACUGACACUGAUGCUCGAAAGUGUGGGUAUCAAACAGGAUUAGCUACCCCUGUAGUC